RNAcentral lists this long non-coding RNA (255 nucleotides) under Vigna radiata. RNAcentral describes it as "long non-coding RNA (VRAD_LNC016175)". The record is from RNAcentral. Lineage: Eukaryota; Viridiplantae; Streptophyta; Magnoliopsida; Fabales; Fabaceae.
CCCACUAUCAUCUCAGUUGUGGCUACCUUCCCUUUGCGAAAAGCCUCAAGUCUAGCCUCCAUCAUGGACAUAUACAUGUCCCUCAUCUGGAAUGUCUCUGCAUGGUGUGCUGGCUCAUCCUGCCUAGCUGCUCCUCCCCUAGGAUGUCUCCUAGGCACUGGUUCAGCUACCUCAUCACCUCCACAAUGUUGUCUGUAGUAUGAGGCAUCAAUGGCCUUUUUAGGCCUCUCGAACGAUGGAAUGUUAGUAUCCACC